RNAcentral lists this ribosomal RNA (372 nucleotides) under uncultured eukaryote. RNAcentral describes it as "SSU rRNA". It matches the Rfam family "Eukaryotic small subunit ribosomal RNA", at positions 587 to 972 of the family's 1831-position model. The record is from RNAcentral.
AGCUCCAAUAGCGUAUAUUAAAGUUGUUGCAGUUAAAAAGCUCGUAGUUGGAUUUGUGUUCUGGCGCGAUGUCCAUCUUGGUACGUUCGCGUGAGAGCAUCCUUGGGUGGAACCUGCGUGGCAUUAGGUUGUCGUGUAGGGGAUGCUCAUCGUUUACUGUGAAAAAAUUAGAGUGUUCAAAGCAGGCUUAGGCCGUUGAAUAUAUUAGCAUGGAAUAAUGAGAUAGGACCUUGGUACUAUUUUGUUGGUUUGCGCACCGAGGUAAUGAUUAACAGGGACAGUUGGGGGUAUUCGUAUUCCAUUGUCAGAGGUGAAAUUCUUGGAUUUUUGGAAGACGAACUACUGCGAAAGCAUUUACCAAGGAUGUUUUCA